Molecule: ribosomal RNA, 809 nt
Filed under: uncultured fungus
Lineage: Eukaryota; Fungi
Description: SSU rRNA
Rfam family: Eukaryotic small subunit ribosomal RNA
Source: RNAcentral
CCUGGUUGAUUCUGCCAGUAGUCAUAUGCUUGUCUCAAAGAUUAAGCCAUGCAUGUCUAAGUAUAAACACGUUAUACUGUGAAACUGCGAAUGGCUCAUUAAAUCAGUUAUAGUUUAUUUGAUGGUUUUUGCUACAUGGAUAACUGUGGUAAUUCUAGAGCUAAUACAUGCGUACAAGCCCCGACUUCUGGAAGGGGUGUAUUUAUUAGAUAAAAAUCAACACUGUUGGUGAAUCAUGAUAACUUCUCGGAUCGCAUGGCCUCGUGCUGGCGAUACUUCAUUCAAAUAUCUGCCCUAUCAACUGUCGAUGGUAGGAUAGAGGCCUACCAUGGUUGCAACGGGUAACGGGGAAUAAGGGUUCGAUUCCGGAGAGGGAGCCUGAGAAACGGCUACCACAUCCAAGGAAGGCAGCAGGCGCGCAAAUUACCCAAUCCCGACACGGGGAGGUAGUGACAAUAUGUAACAAUAUACGGCUUUAUCGUCGUAUAAUUGGAAUGAGUACAAUUUAAAUCCCUUAACGAGGAACAAUUGGAGGGCAAGUCUGGUGCCAGCAGCCGCGGUAAUUCCAGCUCCAAUAGCGUAUAUUAAAGUUGUUGCAGUUAAAAAGCUCGUAGUUGGACCUUGGGCCUGGACGGGCGGUCCGCCUCACGGCGUGUACUGUCUUGCCGGGCCUUUCCUCUUGGUGAUCUGUUGUUUCGGCAGCAGGGAACCAGGACCUUUACUUUGAAAAAAUUAGAGUGUUCAAAGCAGGCUCGACGCCCGAAUAUAUUAGCAUGGAAUAAUAAAAUAGGACGUGCGGUUCUAUUUUG